GUAAUUUUUCAUCUCAACAUUGAGUUUGAUCUACGCGAAAUUGGAUAGGCCGCAGACAAACAGUGUAUACUUAUCUGCUGACAGAAUAUGGUAUGUGGUUUACUUGAACUAAAUCGGAAGAUUCACAAAAAACAUUGGUUCAUCCUGAAGUUACACUCAUAGUUACAGCUUUUGCAAGUAACAGAAGUUCACAAAAAUUGUUGUUUAUUAUGACGUUCAGAAAUCUCUAGCAAUUAGUUGAUCACGAUUAAUAUCACAGUAUAUGUUCAUCCUGAAAUUACUCUUCAAUCUUAUGGUACUAUGCUCAGCUGAUAUUCAGGUAAUUUGCUUCAUCCGUGUACUAUGGUAUUAUUUUUCCUUGACUGCAGAUCUCAGUGGUGGUGACGUUACGUAAGACAUGAAGGUGCAUGAGGCUCUACCAGAGCCUUAUGACAUUCAUCUGGUGGCAUAUAGUGCACAGCCCUUGAGCGUCUUACAAACACGAGCAUGAGACAUCAAGCUUCUGUCAGGAGACUUGCGCUUUUUUUCUUAAUGAUCUUACCAUUCUUUUGAGACCGCAUAUAUUUUAAUGGCGUGUUUUCAUUAUAAGUGGAAAUCUCUUUAUCGUUACUCUGUUGGAUGAGCAUGCAGAGAACUUUGAUGAGGACUCUGUCUGUGCAAGUUCAUCGCAGGGCAGUGUCGGCAUAUUAUUUGUAGGCAUGGCUGUUGCUUACUACCCAGCAAACUGUGCUUCAAAAGCACAUCUCUAGCCAGUUGGUACAUAAACAUUCCCAUUCCGGAGGUAUUUGAUACAUGCCAGCUAUAACACACCAACUCAUCAAAUUGAUAUCUACCUUCACUAUAUACAUGCUUAGCACACAAAUGGCCACUUAUUACAGAUAUGGGAACAGCCAUAUGAAGUAGAAUGGCACGGAUCAGAUGCAAGGGCUGACCCUGUUGAGAUAACAUUGCAUGCUUUGUGCAAAGAAGAAAGAGAUUUCACUAUGGGAAAGUACUAUAAGAUGACAUUUAUUGUCACAGAGGUCAAGAAUUCUGAUGGCUGCUGUUCAGGACCUGCAAGGUAUGCUGGAAAAUAUCCCUAAUGGAAAUGCUUACAGAUGCACCUACAACUGCUUCUGCAAAGAAGAUACGCAUGGGUAAGAAACUAGGUUGUGUACACUGAUGAAACCGUCCCUGCUCAUAUAAACAAGAAAAAUAAAGAGGCCAACGUUGCCAUCAGCAAGAAACACAAAAACUGCGUUGUCUACAGAAAAAUCUUCCAUGGCUUCUCCAUCUGGCGAAUCACCAAAUACAACAGCAGAUAGGCGCCACACCAAGCAAAGACAUCAUAGAUGAUGUCAGCUCUGUGUCUGAAAGGAAGAGAGGAAGGCCACUGCCUCAGAUUCUGCAUUGGCUAAGAAAUAGGUCAGCAAGGCGUUCUUCCCACGCCAAUAAAGACGAUGUCACUUGCCAGUAAGAAUAAACCUCAAAACAAUGGUUAUCCAGAAGCAAUGCAGUUGUAAGAAAAUACUCAACUUUACCUUUCUCUUCGCUUUCGCACCCACACAUAUCCUCACUUCCAAGAAAAGGUCAAUACAGAGUGAGAAUAGAAAGAUUGGUUAAGGGCAGAUUUCAUAGACUACUACUGAUCUUCUAUGUGUAAUAUUAUGGAGCUACCAACUACUCUAGACAAUAUGUGCUUUUGAUGCAUUGUGGUAUGACGGAGUAGCUAUGACCCAUCUGUGUGUAAUAACAUAAGAUGUAAUCCAAUGUUCCACAAUAGCACGAAGUUAUCUACCGCUCCAGCAGCAACAA
Molecule: long non-coding RNA, 1794 nt
Organism: Lolium rigidum
Lineage: Eukaryota; Viridiplantae; Streptophyta; Magnoliopsida; Poales; Poaceae
Exons: 4
Source: RefSeq, a predicted model, not a curated record